RNAcentral lists this ribosomal RNA (478 nucleotides) under uncultured bacterium. RNAcentral describes it as "partial 16S ribosomal RNA". It matches the Rfam family "Bacterial small subunit ribosomal RNA", at positions 28 to 507 of the family's 1533-position model. The record is from RNAcentral.
GAUGAACGCUGGCGGCGUGCUUAACACAUGCAAGUCGAACGAGAAGUGAAGACGGAAACUUUCGGGCGGAAGGCUUUAUUUCGAGUGGCGGACGGGAGAGUAACGCGUGGGUAACCUGCCUCAUACAGGGGGAUAACAGUUGGAAACGACUGUUAAUACCGCAUAAGACCACAGCAACGCAUGGUGCGGGGGUAAAAACUCCGGUGGUAUGAGAUGGAUCCGCGUUCGAUUAGCCAGUCGGCGGGGUAACGGCCCACCAAUGCGACGAUCGAUAGCCGAUCUGAGAGGAUGGCCGGCCACUUUGAGGGUGGGACGCGGCCCAAACUCCUGCGGGAGGCAGCAGUGGGGAAUAUUGCACUAUGGGGGAAGCCCUGAUGCAGCGACGCCGCGUGAGUGAAGUAGUAUUUCAGUAUGUAAAGCUCUAUCAGCAGGGGAGAAAAUGACGGUACCUGAGUAAGAAGCCCCGGCUAACUACGUG